AUGGAUAUGUGCAGGGGGCUGCGAUGGGGCAGACGGCGGCAGGUGGCAGCAAUAGGGUUUGGCAGAUGCUCCGAGACCAUGAAGACCCUAUUCAAUGGUAUGCCCUUUCUGUUUGGUUUUUGGGGGUUCCAUCUCCAGAUUGGUGCGAUGUGUGAUGCAGAUGUGAAGCAUGACAUGGUGAAGGAGGAUCCCGACAUGUUAGCCCCCACAAUCGCGCAGUUGGAGGGCAUGCGCGAUCUUGGUAAAACCUAUUUUUAUCGAGAAAGACAAACCUUUUCAAAACACUCAUUGUAUAGAUUUUGA
This 303-nucleotide ribosomal RNA is filed under the name Triticum aestivum (bread wheat). RNAcentral's name for it is "partial small subunit ribosomal RNA". The record is from RNAcentral. Lineage: Eukaryota; Viridiplantae; Streptophyta; Magnoliopsida; Poales; Poaceae.